CAGUAGCCGCGGUAAUACGUAGGUGGCAAGCGUUGUCCGGAAUUAUUGGGCGUAAAGGGCUCGCAGGCGGUUUCUUAAGUCUGAUGUGAAAGCCCCCGGCUCAACCGGGGAGGGUCAUUGGAAACUGGGAAACUUGAGUGCAGAAGAGGAGAGUGGAAUUCCACGUGUAGCGGUGAAAUGCGUAGAUAUCGGAAGGAACACCAGUGGCGAAGGCGACUCUCUGGCCUGUAACUGACGUUGAGGAGCGAAAACGUGGGGAGCGAACAGGAUUAGAUACCCGUGUAGUCCCUGUCUCUUAUAC
This 301-nucleotide ribosomal RNA is filed under the name uncultured bacterium. RNAcentral's name for it is "partial 16S ribosomal RNA". It matches the Rfam family "Bacterial small subunit ribosomal RNA", at positions 509 to 807 of the family's 1533-position model. The record is from RNAcentral.